AGUGAACGCUGGCGGUAGGCCUAACACAUGCAAGUCGAACGGCAGCACAGUAAGAGCUUGCUCUUACGGGUGGCGAGUGGCGGACGGGUGAGGAAUACUUCGGAAUCUACUUUUUCGUGGGGGAUAACGUAGGGAAACUUACGCUAAUACCGCAUACGACCUACGGGUGAAAGCAGGGGAUCUUCGGACCUUGCGCGAUUGAAUGAGCCGAUGUCGGAUUAGCUAGUUGGCGGGGUAAAGGCCCUCCAAGGCGACGAUCCGUAGCUGGUCUGAGAGGAUGAUCAGCCACACUGGAACUGAGACACGGUCCAGACUCCUACGGGAGGCAGCAGUGGGGAAUAUUGGACAAUGGGCGCAAGCCUGAUCCAGCCAUACCGCGUGGGUGAAGAAGGCCUUCGGGUUGUAAAGCCCUUUUGUUGGGAAAGAAAAGCAGCAGGUUAAUACCCCGCUGUUCUGACGGUACCCAAAGAAUAAGCACCGGCUAACUUCGUG
RNAcentral lists this ribosomal RNA (492 nucleotides) under uncultured bacterium. RNAcentral's name for it is "partial 16S ribosomal RNA". It matches the Rfam family "Bacterial small subunit ribosomal RNA", at positions 29 to 507 of the family's 1533-position model. The record is from RNAcentral.